RNAcentral lists this ribosomal RNA (434 nucleotides) under uncultured bacterium. RNAcentral describes it as "partial 16S ribosomal RNA". It matches the Rfam family "Bacterial small subunit ribosomal RNA", at positions 29 to 507 of the family's 1533-position model. The record is from RNAcentral.
AGCGAACGCUGGCGGCAGGCCUAACACAUGCAAGUCGAACGAACCUUUCGGGGUUAGUGGCGGACGGGUGAGUAACACGCGGGAACGUGCCCUUAGGUUCGGCAUACUUCAGGGAAACUUGUGCUAAUACCGAAUGUGCCUUUCGGGGGAAAGAUUUAUCGCCUGUAGAGCGGCCCGCGUCUGAUUAGCUAGUUGGUUGAGGUAAUGGCUCACCACGGCGAGGAUCAGUAGCUGGUCUGUGAGGAGGAGCAGCCACACUGAGGCGGAGACACGGCCCACACUCCUACGGGAGGGAGGAGUGGGGAAUCGUGCGAAAUGGGCGAAGGCCUGACGCAGCCAUGCCGGGAGAAUGAUGAAGGUCUGAGAGUAGAAAAAUUCUUUCAACGGUGACGAUAAUGACGGUACCCGAUGAAGAAGCCCCGGCUAACUACGUG